CACACGUUGUAUACUGAUGAAGCCACCUUAGGAUGAUUAUUCUGGUGAAAAAAUAGACCAGGAAUCUCUGAGCAAACAUAGAGAAGUUAAUUACUAAGUUGAAAUGCUCUUAUUGGUGUGAAGAACGGUAAUAACUUAAUGGUUUGAUAGCUUUAUACCUAACUUUGCUGAAUUUAUUGUAUGUUUCUGUUCCAAAAGAGAAAAAGAGGGUGGAGAGUUUCUUGCAAUAGCAAAGGCUGCUUGCUCCUUGAUAUUGGAGUUAAUGCCUCAAAAAGUUAAAGUUCAAUAUAAUAUUAUUCACACG
This 304-nucleotide small RNA is filed under the name Vigna angularis var. angularis. RNAcentral describes it as "Non-protein coding transcript". The record is from RNAcentral. Lineage: Eukaryota; Viridiplantae; Streptophyta; Magnoliopsida; Fabales; Fabaceae.